CAUACGCCGUCCUUAAUUCGCUCCCCUUUCUCUGCUUGAACUACGAACGGUGAUACAGGCAUCGUUGGGAGCCGUGCUGCUUAGCAGGAUUGGAGCUGCAGAUUGGUGGCAAGCGGAAGCUGAACAUGUAGAUCGAGCGACGCGGAAUGCAUAGUUUCUGUGCUUGCAUGGAAAUGAAGACUACUGUCUGAUCGAGGAACAGUAGGGGAAGAACCGAAGAACAGACCUUUGCUGCAUGGCUUUGGCCGCCUGGAAUCAUCCCAGCUUCUGUGUGCAGCGAAUCAAACCUCUGCAGCCUCCUUGGCGGUGACUGCAUCUUCUCCAACGCAAACCCAGAGUCUGCACCCCCUUCAGCAGCUCCAUUGCCGUUUGUCUUCAGAGGCUCAGCCAUCCUCUCGAGGCAUACGGGGUGGGGCCAAGGAUGACAACAUGUUGUUACUACUUUUCUUGCAACGAAGUGAUCUGAAAUUGUGGUGCUGGAGUCUGAACGAGGAUGGGAUCCUCGUGCAACAAACAGACUUGUCACUGAAUGCUGGUGAAGUCAAAUAUUGUUAUCAUCCCCUUUGCGCAUGCUAGUCCUCUUUCAGUGCAGCAAUUGGGAAUCCUGUGAUCUGCAACAACUAAGGAAGGUGGCUACAGGGGAAGACACGCAAAUAAGCCAGGAAGGUGGCUAAGGGGGAAUGCACGCUGGCUUUUCAAAAGUUGCAUCUAUUGUCACAUGUGGACUUGUGAGUG
Long non-coding RNA from Lolium rigidum, 735 nucleotides. RefSeq lists it as uncharacterized. The transcript has 4 exons. NCBI's taxonomy places the organism in Eukaryota, Viridiplantae, Streptophyta, Magnoliopsida, Poales, Poaceae. The record is from RefSeq and is a predicted model, not a curated record.